Molecule: ribosomal RNA, 466 nt
Filed under: uncultured Enterococcus sp.
Lineage: Bacteria; Bacillati; Bacillota; Bacilli; Lactobacillales; Enterococcaceae
Description: bacterial SSU rRNA
Rfam family: Bacterial small subunit ribosomal RNA
Source: RNAcentral
CCUACGGGAGGCAGCAGUAGGGAAUCUUCGGCAAUGGACGGAAGUCUGACCGAGCAACGCCGCGUGAGUGAAGAAGGUUUUCGGAUCGUAAAACUCUGUUGUUAGAGAAGAACAAGGAUGAGAGUAGAAUGUUCAUCCCUUGACGGUAUCUAACCAGAAAGCCACGGCUAACUACGUGCCAGCAGCCGCGGUAAUACGUAGGUGGCAAGCGUUGUCCGGAUUUAUUGGGCGUAAAGCGAGCGCAGGCGGUUUCUUAAGUCUGAUGUGAAAGCCCCCGGCUCAACCGGGGAGGGUCAUUGGAAACUGGGAAACUUGAGUGCAGAAGAGGAGAGUGGAAUUCCAUGUGUAGCGGUGAAAUGCGUAGAUAUAUGGAGGAACACCAGUGGCGAAGGCGGCUCUCUGGUCUGUAACUGACGCUGAGGCUCGAAAGCGUGGGGAGCAAACAGGAUUAGAUACCCCUGUAGUC